AUGCCGCUCGGUAUGGCCUCUGAAGUUAGAAAGGGAGUCUCGCACCUGUCGUUGCGUAAUGGAUGCAAGUGUGUACCUGAACUUGGCGUGAGCGUGGAGGAUGUUCUCGUGGUGGUGGGAGAAAUUAUAGGCUUCGACAAUAUUCUCUCAGCAUCGCGAAUGAACAAAGCAGUCAUCGUGUUUUUAAAAACAGAGCAGUUAGUUAACCAGGUGACUGAGAAUGGAUUAUGGAUUAAGGAAAUGUUUGUGCCCGUUACUCCUUUAACGGCUCCGGCAACUAAAGUCACUAUUUCCAAUGUACCGCCUUUUGUCUCGAAUGACGCGAUUGUUAAAGAAUUAACCCGAUACGGUAAAAUCGCAAGUCCUGUCAGAAACAUACCAUUGGGAUGUAAAAACACUGAUCUCAAACACGUUUUGUCGUUUAGGAGACAAGUGUUAAUGUUUCUGACUUCAUCUGAGCGCACAUUAGAGAUCUCGUUCCGUGUAAGUCAUGGAGAUGGAUCAUAUAUGCUGUAUGCAAGUACUGACAAUCUAAAGUGCUUUGAUUGUGGAAAUAUAGGCCAUAAACGCUUCACCCGUCCUUAUAAAAAAGCGGAUGUUGAGCAGCAGCUGCCUGUUAAUGCUACUGAAAAUGGAUCAGCUCAUCACAAUGAUACCAGUGAUACCGAGGAUAAUAUGGCAGCAGCACAGGAUAAACAAGUACCUAAGAAACCAAACCAAAGGCCGUUAGAGGAGGUCUACGGGCACAAUGAGGUGAGUGAAAGCGAUGCUGCUGUGGAUGUGGAGAGCAGUGAGCAGGCUGGAUGCAGUUCUGCGCUUGUUAUAAAUGAAAAUGAUGUUGAGGAAGCAAAAGAAAAUGAGGUUGUAUCUCACACUGUUAUACAAAUAGCUGAGCAAUGCUCGGUGGAUGAUAUGGAUGGGUUAUCUCAGUACACAGAUGAUAGUAUGAAAGAUGAUGGGCAUUGGUCUGAAGGGUCAGAAAUGUCAAAAGUAGAGACAGAAGGAUUGUACACUGUGGCACAAAUUAAUGCUUUCCUGGAUGAGACAAAAGGUAGAAGCACGGAAGUGAGUGAAUUUUUCCCAGAUCUGGAUAAGUUUAUCUCUUCUGUAAUGUGGGCAAGGAAAAGUUGCAGUAAUGAUGAGCUAUCGCAACAGAAACGGUUUAGGUUAAAAAAAACAUAUAACUGA
Molecule: long non-coding RNA, 1188 nt
Organism: Cyprinus carpio (common carp)
Lineage: Eukaryota; Metazoa; Chordata; Actinopteri; Cypriniformes; Cyprinidae
Source: Ensembl